GUGUGUGGAUAUUGGAGAGUAUGCUUCCCUCCAGCUUGGCCAGUAAUUUCAGUGCAAUCAGCAGGUAUUGCAAAAGCAUGGCCCUUGCCUCAUCAAUUAGGAGCCACAGAUAGAAAACUAUCACCUGCCCUGCAGCAGCCACAGCACACUGAAGCCGCCUCUCCACCUAUAAGUAAAAAGAAGAGACGAUCCCAAGCACAGAGAGGGCCUGAGUCCGUGGCAGCCUCCCUUGGCACCUCAGACCUCCAAACACUGAGAAAACUCAUCCGGAGUCAGAUCCAGACGUUUCUUCAUCUCAGCUGCCAGGAAGUACGUAUUUUGGCACAUGGGGACCAAGGAAGGAAGGAAUGGAGGAGAACUUACCCCAGAGGCUAGUAAAAUAUCAGCACAGGUUGUUUGCUCAUCUGUGGGAAAACAAUAGAAAAGAAAAAAAAAAAAAAAAAAA
Long non-coding RNA from Bos taurus (domestic cattle), 445 nucleotides. Lineage: Eukaryota; Metazoa; Chordata; Mammalia; Artiodactyla; Bovidae. The record is from Ensembl.